UACGUAGGGGGCUAGCGUUAUCCGGAAUUACUGGGCGUAAAGGGUGCGUAGGUGGUUUCUUAAGUCAGAGGUGAAAGGCUACGGCUCAACCGUAGUAAGCCUUUGAAACUGGGAAACUUGAGUGCAGGAGAGGAGAGUGGAAUUCCUAGUGUAGCGGUGAAAUGCGUAGAUAUUAGGAGGCACACCAGUUGCGAAGGCGGCUCUCUGGACUGUAACUGACACUGAGGCACGAAAGCGUGGGGAGCGAACGGG
RNAcentral lists this ribosomal RNA (252 nucleotides) under uncultured bacterium. RNAcentral's name for it is "partial 16S ribosomal RNA". It matches the Rfam family "Bacterial small subunit ribosomal RNA", at positions 524 to 776 of the family's 1533-position model. The record is from RNAcentral.